Drosophila yakuba is the source of this 7306-nucleotide long non-coding RNA. RefSeq lists it as uncharacterized. Lineage: Eukaryota; Metazoa; Arthropoda; Insecta; Diptera; Drosophilidae. The record is from RefSeq and is a predicted model, not a curated record. The transcript is spliced from 3 exons.
ACGCCUGUAAAAUUUGCAAAAUGAGUAUCCGAUUUAGAAAGCGUUAUGGGAGUUUUUUCACAAAAGAUAUCAGGCAAUUUUAACAUCUUUAUAUAUUUAGCUAACUUUGAGUAUUUAUAAUUAGAGCAUAAAACUAUAAGCAAAAUGAAAUCCACAAGCCCUAGCAGCUAAGACCUUCUGCACGUCUAGGGUGACAAUGAUAUUUACAGUGCAUGAGAGAUAAUAAUUUUGUUGAAAGAUUGAAUGAAAGACACCUGUUCUAUGUAGGGAAAGGGAAGUACAGUUAAUUAUGACGUGUUUAAAGUCUAUCACUGAAUUUUUGGCAAGAAUUUUUGGCAAGAAUUUUUGGCAUAUGUUGGGGAAGGAUUUGUCCAUGUAGUGGUGGCAUCUUUAGGUGUUUUGUCGACAUUUUCAUUGCUAAUAUGCCAUUGUGACUGGGGUUCCAGAUUAGUUAAGUUUUUGGAAAGUGUUUAGAAACAAGGUUUCUUAUGCUAUUAAAAACUUUAUUCACAUGAGUUUGUAUAACAACGAAAAAAGGUGUCAUGGUUAACUCACUUAGGUAUUUACAUGGCUUUAUAUGACGAUAUAACAAUUAGCUUACAUAUCAUUUCUACGGUUCAUUUUUGUGAUCAUUGCAAUGUUUAUAAUUUUCAAUAAAUUAAGAAAAAAUGAACUGCAUAAUUCCGGCAAUAAGCAAAUCAUAUUUUCUGGUGAGUGUGCUCAAGUAAAUUUUCUCACAAAAUACAAACGUCUAUCUGCUAUAAAUUACUCAUCUUUUGGAUGAGACUUCCCCAUUGUAUUCCAAAUUGAAAGGUCGAAACCAUAAACAUGAAUCCUUGAAAGCGUUCUACUUUGCCAAACGAAAUGUACUCAUAUUUAUUUAAAUUUUUAUGGCCAGAAAAACAAUUCGAUUUCCCGAGCAGAGUCGUAAAUGCAGUGCAUCAAAAGUUGAAUCAACUUUCGUAGAAGAGAUUCGCCUGGCAGCUCGCCUCGAUUUGCUUUUAUAAGAGCUAGUAAAUGAUUUAAAAAUUUUGUGUUUAUCUUGCUAAAACGCGAAAGUAAACAGCCAGAAGGCAAACGCCAAAGCGGAGCGUAUCCAGCAUGGUUCGGUUGUUUAUGCGGAUUUCCGCUGAACCCGCCUAGACAUCUCUUCAUUUGGCUGGAUGGUUGGAUGGCACAUGCACGCCACCGAACGACGAUGAUAUCAUCGUCCGCGACUCCGGCGCUUCUUUGGGGCCGCUGCUAUCUGGGAACCAGCGAAGAACAACCCAGCCCAGCCCAACCCAAUCCAACCCCACAACAAUGGCGGGGCGUCGCGAGUGGAGUUGUCGUCUCCACUCGCGCCGUAGUUGCAAAUGCCGAUAAGCAUUCUUUGGCGCAAAAGCAACAGCUCGUCGAAAGAAAAGAAAGUAAAGGAACAGGCCCACAACAAAAGGCGCUAACUCUACUCUAUCAAUGCACAGCCCAAAAAAUCGAACCGAGUCACAUUCCAAUUGUAUAUUGUAUGGGCUCUUAUCUGCGCGAUAUUCAUUCAGCACGGCUUAUUUUAUUGGCAUAUUUUUGGAAGCAAGCUAAUAGCUAGUUUGCUUAUCAAAGUUUUCAACGGCAGAACACAAGCGACAUAGUUAACUCAAAAAGUCGACGGUCUGCCUUUGCUGGAUUAUAUUCACGGCAACACAAACUACCUACAAGCCAUUUGUAAACGAUUUUUUAAACAGCCAUAACUUAUUCAACAAUUACAUUUAGUUUUAAAAAAGUUUAGUUUAUUUCAUGAUUGUUACUGUCUCAUAUCAUGUUUAAAGAACAAAUAUUAUAUUAUUAGUGUUUCCGAUGCUAAUUCUUCUUUUUUUUAUUUUCCAGUGUAUUCCCCCCACCUCCCCUCUCGCAUUUGAUAACAGAGCCCGUUUGAGGAGGGGGCAUUAUACAAAUCAAAUGACCGAUUCUCGCCUGUGUCUCUCUAUCGUUCUCUCCUCUUUCCCUAACGCGGCAUAUGUUAAUUCAAAUUUUUUACUGGCCGAGCUUCAAAGUGACUUCUUUGCCGUUGCUUUUAGAAUCCAAAAGCAAUUUCCAUUUCGCAGUAAAACGCAUAAAAAAACAAAAGCAGAAGAAGGCUAGAAAGAGCGAGCGAGACGACGCCGGGUGGGCCACACAAUUUGUAAAUCUGGAACGCAGCCAAUUAAUUAAUUAUGAACAAUUUUGAUAAGCUGACCGACCGACCGGCAGGAAAAAGGGGUUUUGCGAAGAGACAACGCCCACGCGUGACCAUCCGCAAAUCAAGUUGACGACAAUGUCCAAUGGCAUUUUGUGGUAUGCAAACAUUUUUGACACGAGCUAUUCCAUCAGCGAAAUUCCCUCGAUUCCCCAGACUUUGGGCCUUAAUGUCAGCAGAGCAACGGAUUCUACGCUAUUUCCAUUUGCAUGGCCAACCCGAAAAGCGGUGAAAAACGCGAAAAGAAGAAAAAACAAAUGCAUGCUAAGUUUAGCCUUUUGUUUUGGCACGCCAUUGAGCGGCAUUUUCAGCCGUUGCACGCCAAAUGUUAUUCACCUCGCCGCAUUACGUAUACGCCGCGUAGCAGACCCCAGCUGCAGCCAGAAGCCAACAGCGACUUGUUGAGACGGCUUUCAGACUCUAGGCCGCCAGCUUAACGUGGCUCAUUACGCGGCAGUUUGCCAGGCGCCAAGCUCCAUUUCGCCCCCGCUUUCCCAACCAUCAAUGCACAUAAUUCUGGCUUAUAACUCAAUAGCCUGAAUAAUUCCUUUGAUGAAGAAGCAGGCUGAAGAGUUCCACGGAAAACCCUGCUUCAGAGGUAAGGCUUGGGGAUUUCAGGUUAACUAGUGGGCUAUUAGAUAUUCAAGGCAUAACUGAUUAAGUUAGAGAUGAACUUUGGAAAGACAAACAAAGCUUUGAUAACGAACUUUACUGCAAGCUUAAACUAAGCCCUGGUAAUGAGAUAUCCCUUUGAAAUUUGUGCUUGAUUGUUUGUUGAACUGCUAAAUCGUGAAAUAUUUAAUCAUACAUAAUUAUUUAUUCAAUACAACGAAUAUUUUACAUGGUUUUCUUUUCAUGAUUUUUCCUGCUCCCGGCUAAAUUUGUAGCUCUUUGUUUCAUUUCGAUAACAAGAACAAUAAUUGACCAAUUCAUUGUAUUUUAAAAUACGUUUUAAGAAACAUUCCUCGGCACUCAUUGACCUGCCGCCUUAGUAUACAAUUAUUCGGGAAAAAGCAAUUGUGCAUAUAUUAUAAUUGAAAUGCCAAAAUAGGCGAGCCAACCGCUUGAGUUCAAUAAAUUACAAAUUUGGAUUAGCGCCACAAGAUAAAAGCGCGAAGAACAGACAUAAAACAUAUGAUAUAUGUACAAUAUGCACACAUAUAUAAAGUAUAUAUACCUAAACGUGCCUAUAUCCCACCGAUUUCGAGGCAGUUGCUCUGUGUGAAAUGUUCUAAAAUAUUGCAGAGCCUUUAAACAUUUCGAUCGUAUCUAUUUCUCUUAUUUUUUCUAGGCGAAAAGUUCUCAUGUGGCUCAAUACCAUUUCGCCACUAAAAUGCUUGGCAUAUUUUUGCCAAAUUGUAUAACGAUUUAUACAGCGCCGUUUGAGUAGGCGCUUUUGGUCAGCAAAUUGUUUCCGACUUUCAAUAUAUUUUUAUUUCUCACUUUUUUCCACUAGGCCAGGUGGGACCAGUCAACUGGAAGUGUGAAAAAUAAUGAACACAAGCUAUUCCAGAAUGAAAAAUAAACAAACCGAAAGAAAAUCCAAACGGAAACCAGAAUCUAGGCAAUUUCCUUAUGAUUCCCAUAAUUUAUGGUGUACUUGCGAAAUGACAUUGUAAUUAUUAAAUUUAAGAAAACAAACGGAUAUUAACUCUUAUGUAGAAUGAAAUCAAACUUAGAAAUAAAUUUUACAAAGCUUGUCCUUGCUUUUAAAAAAUCGUAUCUUUUCAAUGUUUAUUUACCCAAGAUUUCAAGUGUGAAUAAGCUGAUAUGAUAAUCAGUAUUCACAGUAUUUCACAGUAUAAACUUUCACCUGUGCAGUUUUCGAUUCUACGAAGUUUUCGUUGAUAAAAAAUAUAUAGUUCUAAAAUACGCUAGAAAUCGUAAAUGAGUAAUACAAAUUCUAAGAACUAUCUAAAUGAUUUGUAUAUGGAAAACAUUUCCUGCUGGGAAAUAUUAGAAGUUAGUACAAUUUGAAAAAUGUUUCCAGGAACAAAUAUAACAAUACUUCCAUUAAACACGUAUAGAAUUAAACAUAUUUUUCCGCCGAACUAUUUCUGAACUCAUGUCGUCAUGGGUUGGCAAAAAUAAUCGUAUUUUUCGUAUAGUUCCCGCUGGUUUCGGUUGGUUUAUCCAUAAAACAGCAGAUUUCAAAUCGUGUGUGUGCGGCGCGUGCGAGCCAAAUGUACAUAUAAUAAUUAUAAUAAUCGGGCAGCGGCAGAAUUGGCAACCAGAAAUGAUGGAAAAUAAAAGAUUGGAUAGGCCCAAGUCGAAGGAACUCGGUUGUAAAACGAAGCAUUUUUAAUGGCAUACAUUUCGCGUCUGGCUAUGGCUAGAAAUGGUAUUAUGCAACGCACACACAUCACAUACUGACAGCAGAAACAGAUACAGAUACAAAUGCGAGAUGCGGACUGCGGACUGCAGACAUCACAUCAAAUUGUAUCUGGCAUAGAGCGAAUUUUCAUUUUGAUCAUUCGCAUUCGUUUGUUAUUUUGGGUGUAAAGCACGAAACGAGAAAUAAAUCAAAUCAAGUGUAGCGACCGCAUCCAUUUAUAUACAACCAAAACCAAACAGAUACAUCCAGAGAGAUCAUUCUUGAGGAUAUUCGAUUUGUUGUAUCUGUGAGUCUGUAUUCUAUAUUCCGUAGUCUGUAGUCUGUAGCUGUGCGUUUCAACAGCUGUCCGUCCCGUCAGUCCGUCGAGAACCGGGCCAAGGUUAGAAAACACGUCAAUAAAGCGCGUUAGCCGACAGCAACAAAUCUACCAGCGCUCAUGCUGUGUGUAUUUCUCAUUUUGGAUUUGGGAAAACUCACGCAACUUUUCCCAACUCCCCAAACACACCGAUCCGCUCGCUCCGCCGAUCAGGACUCGUCAUCCAUCCGCGACUCACGAUCGUCAUGUCAGCAGAUCGGCAAUUGUUACGAUUAUUAUGCACUCAGCACUGACUAUAGCUCAAUUUAGCAGAAGUCUUGACAGAAUAAUUUCUUAAUUUAUGCGGCGCCAGUUGGCCUGCCCCUGUUCCCCUUUCCCCCACCCUACAGAAAUCGAAAUAUAUCAAUUGCUAAUUGGCAGAACUGUAUGUAUAUAAAUCAAUUCUUAAUUUGAGCAAAUCAUUGAUAGAGGCUGAUUAAUGAAGAAACACAGAUUCGCACUCAGGGGACCAAAACCUGAUUAGAUGUUUAAAAGAGUUUCUAGUAUAUAGAUGGGUAAAUUAGGCAAAACGAUAGUUUUAUUCACAAAAGAACCAUAAAAUAAGUAUAGUUUUUUGAUUUGCUCUUAAUAGUUUCCCUUCAGAACUACAAAAUGAUUCAUUUGAUUAUAAUUAACGCACUAAAACCAAAUACAUAUUGCCGUAAAGCCCACGUAUUUCCAAAAGUUCUUAUUUUAGCACUCACAUCUAAUUCAUGUGAACUGGUGUGGGCCUUGAAAUACAAUUAUAUAAAAUAUAUUUCGAAUAAAAAGCGCCACACUAUCCUUGAACUGUAUUUAAAUGUAGAUUUCUGAGUCUGAACGAACGCCUGUAAACAGCCGUAAUUUAUUGCCAUUUCUUUGAUCAUUUCCCACUUGUCCCCCAGCGAGUUUGAACGUCAUUGCACGCAGCCAGCUUGUAGGCCACAUGAAAAUCAAAGUCAGCCAGCGGCAUGGAUACACGGUCACUUGCAACAGCCUCCUCCCCAACAUCCCCAUCCCCUCCAUCCUCGCGUUCCUAUCUUCCUCUCCAUCAGUCAACAUCAUUCAUAUGAAGACCAAGGUAGCGGCGGUACACAGUGGAACUGGUGGCCGCCUGUGAUUUCCUAAAUAUUUUAUGUACUUUAGAACUAGGUUUCUCACUUCUGAUUAAGUUCUAUCGCGACCCAGCAGUUCAUUCCCUACACUUGUUUAUCAAGUGAAUGUUGAUGUUGACGCAAUACACAUUACAAUCUCACUCGCGUGCAUAACAAGUAUUUAUCACUAAGUUCAAAGUUUAUGUUCAUUUCAUUAUACAUUUUCAAUAAUUCAUGAUUUAAUAGUUCCGGCGAUUUUCAGACAUUAAUUUGCAUAUCCGCUGGAAUGAGUUAUGUUAAACUAAUAAAUACUUCUUCGCAUACUCAUAAAUGUUUAAUUAACACAAAGAUAAAUCUUUAUUGUUAAUGUAUAUUAUCAGUUAAAGUUCGUUCGCUUUGAUGCUCAAAUCCAAAAUUUAUGUUAAUUAUUUUUUCUAAAUACUCAGUUGUGUAUCAAAUGUUUAAUAUUACUUGACAACCGAUUAGUUGAGGCGACAGAAGAAUGCCCCCUGCCAGAGAAUACAUUUUGGAACCAUUUCCAUGGGACUUGAAACCACUGUGGCCCAUCCUGUCCGCAGCCGUCGUGUCGCAUGCCAUUGAAAAUGUGGUGCAGGUGUGGUGCUGUCGUUGUCAAUGCUCAUGAAUGGAAGGCCCAAACGUAGAAAACACUCACCUGCAUGGGUAUAUGUGAAUGCGAAUGUGACUGUGAAGUUGGUGCGGCAUGGGCCAAAGGAAAGCGACUAGGCAGAGAAAGGGCGGGGGAGGACUUUUGCAGCUAUUAGAGGACUUCAGAAACGACAACGGCAAGUGAAGCAAAUAGCCGCAGGUUGCGGCCGCACUUGCACCGCAAACAAUGUGGCAGCCGCUGUUGCUGUAAUUACAGUGCACUCCCAGACAGUGAAGCCUCUCCGUAAUGCCCGCCCAUCCCGCACUCGGCAAAUUAGCAUCUGGUUAACAAGUGCGCCGCGGUUAAACGGUGAAAAUCUACGACUCUUCGCUGGCGCAGCAUAAUUAGAAUCAAUUAUAUCGAAUUGGAGCAGAGCAGAGCGCACAGUGAGUGCAAGAUGGGUGUGGACAGGCGGCACUCUUGGAAAUAAUCUUAGGAAUUUGAUUGGGAAUCUCAGAGGAAACCAUUUCGGCGAUACGUAUUUCAUUUUUAAAUUUACAACGUGGUAGUUAUUACCAUAUGAAAUUUGAGAGUACAGUGGUGCCCAUCUUGCACUAAGAAAUUUGCAUAAAAAUGGGAAAAUUCUCGAGGCUAAUUUGUUUUAAUAAGUAAUCAAAAACCCAAAUAAUUUUUGUGUUCCUCCAACACAAGUUAAUAUCAUUUGAAG